Long non-coding RNA from Juglans regia (Persian walnut), 989 nucleotides. RefSeq lists it as uncharacterized. The record is from RefSeq and is a predicted model, not a curated record. The transcript has 3 exons. NCBI's taxonomy places the organism in Eukaryota, Viridiplantae, Streptophyta, Magnoliopsida, Fagales, Juglandaceae.
CUCCCCUUCGUUCCCACGCAAAAAACCAGAAACCCUUCACUGCUAUUUCGUCGUUCUUCGUCCAGAGAGAAGUGCUGAAGGACUCGCCACCGCACCACCACUCCAACUCUCGUCGGAAGCAAAACCACCGCACCCCUGCACCACCGCAACACCGCACUCCAACUCUCGUCGGCAACAACCAAAACCCCCUCUUUUUCUCGCCGAUCUGCAUGUUUAUGUUUCUUCCCCAACCCCCUCUUUCUCCCGUUGGGUUGCAUUUUCUGUUUUUGUUUAUGAUUGAGGGGUUGUAUUUAAGCAAAACCCAAGUUUUCUACCCCUAAAACCCACAAUAUUUUCUCCCAAAUCCUCCGGAAAAACGGCAAGGCUUCUUCGGAAAACGGCAUGGCUUCUUCGCAGGAUUCAGUCUGAGAGCAGCAAUUGCAGUUGGUUAAGGAGAAAAUGGAACAGCAGCCCCGUGGUAAUUACUGGAGCAGAGGUUGAUGAGUAUCGCUUGUCUAGAUGACAUUGAUUCAAGUUUGGUUUUUAUGUAUACACCCAUAACAGAAGAAGGUGUCAAAGGAGAACCUCAACAUAAAUACACAGAUUUUGUAAAAGCAGAUUGCAGAGUGCUCUUGCUAACCAGAUAUACUCUUGGAUUGGUGUUCUAAAGUUGCGGAAUUGCUGCCUCUUCAUGGACCAAUGCAAAUUCCAGGACUUGCUUGGCAACUUGUUUGUGUUUUUUCAGUAAAUUUGUAAGAAGCCCAGAAAAGAUGGCUCAAAGAAAGGCAGUUUACAGCACCUAAACAAAGGAAUACAACAGCACAAUGAGCUGGGGCAGAGAUCCUGAAAGUGAUGAUCUUAUGUUUACUUUUGCUACUGGUUUUCUUAUCUGAAACCCAAAAAAUAACUCUCUUUUUGUGGAGGAUUUUAAAAGGGAACAUAAUUCCUCGUAGUAGUUCUUUUGAUUCUGCACUAUGGAGGAAACAAAAUCCACCAACUAAAUUGCAUGA